CACGUAGAUGGCUUUGUAAGUCGGAUGUGAAAUCCCCGGGCUCAACCUGGGAACUGCAUUCGAAACUGCAUUGCUCGAAUGUGGAAGAGGGAAGCGGAAUUCCGGGUGUAGCGGUGAAAUGCGUAGAUAUCUGGAGGAACAUCAGUGGCGAAGGCGGCUUCCUGGUCCAACAUUGACAUUCAGGUGCGAAAGCGUGGGGAGCAAACAGGAUUAGAUACCCUGGUAGUCCACGCCAUAAACGAUGAGAACUAGAUGUCGGGAGGGUUAGCCUUCCGGUGUCGCAGCUAACGCGUUAAGUUCUCCGCCUGGGGAGUACGGCCGCAAGGUUGAA
Molecule: ribosomal RNA, 331 nt
Filed under: uncultured bacterium
Lineage: Bacteria
Description: bacterial SSU rRNA
Rfam family: Bacterial small subunit ribosomal RNA
Source: RNAcentral